RNAcentral lists this transfer-messenger RNA (352 nucleotides) under Planctomycetes bacterium GWC2_45_44. It matches the Rfam family "transfer-messenger RNA". From Rfam's summary of the family: Bacterial tmRNA, also known as 10Sa RNA or SsrA, is named for its dual tRNA and mRNA-like properties. Its role is to liberate the mRNA from a stalled ribosome. The record is from RNAcentral. Lineage: Bacteria; Pseudomonadati; Planctomycetota. RNAcentral also lists the same sequence under 2 other names.
GGGGGCGAAAGGCUUCGACCGGACGGGUAGAGAGACAGGUUGCAUAUCCAGGAUGUCGGUUGGCCUGGCUAAUCAUCCGACACAAAUUUAAUUGGCAACUACCAAUUGAAAAUGGCUGCUUAAUUAGCGGCCCGUUCCGUGAGAUCGCUCCUGCCGGUUUCAUCUGAGCGCCAAAAUGCGGGAUGGCUUUGCAAGGCCGUUUGUCCAAGCAAAGCGAGAAACUACAAACUGGCCAAGUUGAAAGUCUGUUAUUCGACGUUCAGCGAGGCGAGAACCAAAUGAAUAACUAUGUAUGUAGAUGCCUGUUUUGAAACGUUUCGGGACGCGGGUUCGAAUCCCGCCGCCUCCAGUC